RNAcentral lists this ribosomal RNA (252 nucleotides) under uncultured bacterium. RNAcentral's name for it is "partial 16S ribosomal RNA". It matches the Rfam family "Bacterial small subunit ribosomal RNA", at positions 524 to 776 of the family's 1533-position model. The record is from RNAcentral.
UACGUAGGGACCGAGCGUUGUCCGGAAUCAUUGGGCGUAAAGAGCGUGUAGGCGGCCACUUAAGUCCUGCGUGAAAUCUUGCGGCUCAACCGCAAGCGGUCGUGGGAAACUGGGUGGCUAGAGUGCGGGAGAGGAGAGUGGGAUCCUGGUGUAGCGGUGGAAUGCGCAGAUAUCAGGAAGAACACCCGUGGCGAAGGCGGCUCUCUGGAACGCAACUGACGCUGAGACGCGAAAGCGUGGGGAGCAAACAGG